Molecule: ribosomal RNA, 402 nt
Filed under: bacterium
Lineage: Bacteria
Description: partial 16S ribosomal RNA
Rfam family: Bacterial small subunit ribosomal RNA
Source: RNAcentral
UGGGGAAUUUUGCACAAUGGGGGAAACCCUGAUGCAGCGACGCCGCGUGAUUUAGAAGGCCUUCGGGUUGUAAAAAUCUUUUUUACGGGAUGAAAAUGACAGUACCGUAAGAAUAAGGUCCGGCUAAAUACGUGCCAGCAGCCGCGGUAAUACGUAUGGACCGAGCGUUGUCCGGAAUCAUUGGGCGUAAAGGGUACGUAGGCGGCCUAGUAAGUUAGAAGUGAAAUAAUAUAGCUCAACUAUAUAAAGCUUUUAAAACUGCUAGGCUUCAGAGAUGGAAGGGAAAGUGGAAUUCCUAGUGUAGCGGUGAAAUGCGCAGAUAUUAGGAAGAAUACCGGUGGCGAAGGCGACUUUCUGGUCAUCAUCUGACGCUGAGGUACGAAAGCGUGGGUAGCAAACAGG